This 497-nucleotide ribosomal RNA is filed under the name uncultured bacterium. RNAcentral's name for it is "partial 16S ribosomal RNA". It matches the Rfam family "Bacterial small subunit ribosomal RNA", at positions 28 to 507 of the family's 1533-position model. The record is from RNAcentral.
GAUGAACGCUGGCGGCGUGCCUAAUACAUGCAAGUCGAGCGAACGGACGAGAAGCUUGCUUCUCUGAUGUUAGCGGCGGACGGGUGAGUAACACGUGUAUAACCUACCUAUAAGACUGGGAUAACUUCGGGAAACCGGAGCUAAUACCGGAUAAUAUUUUGAACCGCAUGGUUCAAAAGUGAAAGACGGUCUUGCUGUCACUUCUAGAUGCAUCCGCGCUGCAUUAGCUGGUUGGUAAGGUAACGGCUUACCAAGGCAACGAUGCAUAGCCGACGUGAGAGGGUGAUCGGCCACACUGGAGCUGGGCCACGGUCCAGACUCCUACGAGAGGCAGCAGUAGGGAAUCUUCCGCAAUGGGCGAAAGCCUGACGGAGCAACGCCGCGUGAGUUAUGAAGGUCUUCGGAUCGUGAUACUCUGUUAUUAGGGAAGAACAUAUGUGUAAGUAGCUGUGCACAGCUUGACGGUACCUAAUCAGAAAGCCACGGCUAACUACGUG